AACUGCGAAUGGCUCAUUAAAUCAGUUAUCGUUUAUUUGAUAGUACCUUACUACUUGGAUAACCGUGGUAAUUCUAGAGCUAAUACAUGCUAAAAAUCCCGACUUACGGAGGGAUGUAUUUAUUAGAUUAAAAACCAAUGCCCUUCGGGGCUCUCUGGUGAUUCAUAAUAACUUCUCGAAUCGCAUGGCCUUGAGCUGGCGAUGGUUCAUUCAAAUUUCUGCCCUAUCAACUUUCGAUGGCAGGGUCUUGGCCUGCCAUGGUUACAACGGGUAACGGAGGGUUAGGGCUCGACCCCGGAGAAGGAGCCUGAGAAACGGCUACUACAUCCAAGGAAGGCAGCAGGCGCGCAAAUUACCCAAUUCCGAUACGGAGAGGUAGUGACGAUAAAUACUGAUACAGGGCUCUUUUGGGUCUUGUAAUUGGAAUGAGUACAAUUUAAAUCCCUUAACGAGGAACAAUUGGAGGGCAAGUCUGGUGCCAGCAGCCGCGGUAAUUCCAGCUCCAAUAGCGUAUAUUAAAGUUGUUGCAGUUAAAAAGCUCGUAGUUGAACCUUGGGCCUGGCUGGCUGGUCCGCCUCACCGCGUGUACUGGUUCGGCCGGGCCUUUCCCUCUGGGGAACCUCAUGCCCUUCACUGGGUGUGCUGGGGAACCAGGACUUUUACUGUGAAAAAAUUAGAGUGUUCAAAGCAGGCCUAUGUCCGAAUACAUCAGCAUGGAAUAAUAGAAUAGGACGUGCGGUUCUAUUUUGUUGGUUUCUAGGACCGCCGUAAUGAUUAAUAGGGACAGUCGGGGGCAUCAGUAUUCAAUUGUCAGAGGUGAAAUUCUUGGAUUUAUUGAAGACUAACUACUGCGAAAGCAUUUGCCAAGGAUGUUUUCAUUAAUCAGGAACGAAAGUUAGGGGAUCGAAGACGAUCAGAUACCGUCGUAGUCUUAACCAUAAACUAUGCCGACUAGGGAUCGGACGAUGUUAUUUUNNGACUCGUUCGGCACCUUACGAGAAAUCAA
This 1006-nucleotide ribosomal RNA is filed under the name Annulohypoxylon atroroseum. RNAcentral describes it as "SSU rRNA". It matches the Rfam family "Eukaryotic small subunit ribosomal RNA", at positions 85 to 1101 of the family's 1831-position model. Lineage: Eukaryota; Fungi; Ascomycota; Sordariomycetes; Xylariales; Hypoxylaceae. The record is from RNAcentral.